ACGGAAGGCAGCAGUGGGGGAUAUUGCACAAUGGGGGAAACCCUGAUGCAGCGACGCCGCGUGAGUGAAGAAGUAUUUCGGUAUGUAAAGCUCUAUCAGCAGGGAAGAAAAUGACGGUACCUGACUAAGAAGCUCCGGCUAAAUACGUGCCAGCAGCCGCGGUAAUACGUAUGGAGCAAGCGUUAUCCGGAUUUACUGGGUGUAAAGGGAGCGUAGACGGUUUGCCAAGUCUGAUGUGAAAGCUUGGGGCUCAACCCCGAAACUGCAUUGGAAACUGGUAGACUAGAGUGUCGGAGAGGUAAGUGGAAUUCCUAGUGUAGCGGUGAAAUGCGUAGAUAUUAGGAGGAACACCAGUGGCGAAGGCGGCUUACUGGACGAUAACUGACGUUGAGGCUCGAAAGCGUGGGGAGCAGACAGGAUUAGAUACCCUGGUA
This 434-nucleotide ribosomal RNA is filed under the name uncultured Lachnospiraceae bacterium. Its description in RNAcentral is "partial 16S ribosomal RNA". It matches the Rfam family "Bacterial small subunit ribosomal RNA", at positions 341 to 792 of the family's 1533-position model. Lineage: Bacteria; Bacillati; Bacillota; Clostridia; Lachnospirales; Lachnospiraceae. The record is from RNAcentral.